Molecule: ribosomal RNA, 468 nt
Filed under: uncultured bacterium
Lineage: Bacteria
Description: partial 16S ribosomal RNA
Rfam family: Bacterial small subunit ribosomal RNA
Source: RNAcentral
GACGAACGCUGGCGGCGUGCUUAACACAUGCAAGUCGAACGGAAAGGCCCUGCUUUUGUGGGGUGCUCGAGUGGCGAACGGGUGAGUAACACGUGAGUAACCUGCCCUUGACUUUGGGAUAACUUCAGGAAACUGGGGCUAAUACCGGAUAGGAGCUCCUGCUGCAUGGUGGGGGUUGGAAAGUUUCGGCGGUUGGGGAUGGACUCGCGGCUUAUCAGCUUGUUGGUGGGGUAGUGGCUUACCAAGGCUUUGACGGGUAGCCGGCCUGCGAGGGUGACCGGCCACAUUGGGCCGGAGAUACGGCCCAGACUCCUACGGGAGGCAGCAGUGGGGAAUAUUGCACAAUGGGCGGAAGCCUGAUGCAGCAACGCCGCGUGCGGGAUGACGGCCUUCGGGUUGUAAUCCGCUUUCGCCUGUGACGAAGCGUGAGUGACGGUAAUGGGUAAAGAAGCACCGGCUAACUACGUG